Long non-coding RNA from Vicia villosa (hairy vetch), 881 nucleotides. RefSeq lists it as uncharacterized. NCBI's taxonomy places the organism in Eukaryota, Viridiplantae, Streptophyta, Magnoliopsida, Fabales, Fabaceae. The transcript has 6 exons. The record is from RefSeq and is a predicted model, not a curated record.
UCCAAGCUACUCCAAAUAAAUAAGAUACAAUCCUUCAUACUUUUCAAUAUAAAAAAAUACACGCCAAAGAAUGAGAAAGCCAAAGAAUGAGAAAGGUUAGGGUUGGAGAAAUCAAAAAUCUGAAACGUAAGUGUUCCAUGGAUCUCUUUCAUUCAUCCUUGCAGUCUUCGGUUUCUCAUCCUAUCAACAACAUCAAAAGAUAUUUCAAUUCAACAACACAGAUUGUCACGACUCCGAAUUUCAUCCACUUUUUUGAAGAAUAUUUGUUACAGAUGUGAGACUUUCUUCAAUUCAGAUUAUUGGAAAAGCAUUGGUCCUUGAUGAAAUAAUUAAUUAUAUGCCAUCACUUCAGUCUCAAGUGGAGUUUUUAUUGAUGAAAUUUGAAGCAGUAAACUUGAAACUUAACACUGGCAUUGAAGCCUUUCCUCCAAAAGAUUUUUUUCUAACGGAUGUAGAAUAUUUGUUGCAAUUGGAAUGUAAGCUGGAAUAUCUCCUCCAAGUUGUUUGAAUCUUGAAGAUUGGCUUCAUACGUCUCCUCCAGUCGAUAUGUUUCAAGAAAUUCUAUCUCUCAAUGCUGAGAAUUUUAUACUAACUGAAUACAACGGUCCAGCUAGAAAAUGGUUAGCUCUUAUUCGGAAGGCGCUAAAUAGUCUUCCUAAAACAAGUGGGAAACAUAGUUGGUUGAUUUGUAUAAUUGCAAAAUCCUAUACACUAAAUAGUCUUCCUUUUCACUGCACUCUCUUAUAUGAUUUAUAUUUGUCUCCAAAAAUGUUAUUAUUAAUUCCAUUUAUUUGAAUGAUCAAAAUAUACACCUGCUACAACAGAUAAAUAAAUUACAUAAAGCUUCUCUGGAUAAAAGGUUUAUGUGUGAAGAAGCUGAG